This 279-nucleotide unclassified non-coding RNA is filed under the name Hevea brasiliensis (rubber tree). Lineage: Eukaryota; Viridiplantae; Streptophyta; Magnoliopsida; Malpighiales; Euphorbiaceae. The record is from RNAcentral.
GGAAUUGAAAUAGGAGAAGAUACCAUUGAACUCAAUGCUGAUUCAAAUGGAUCAGAAUUGUUGUUAUCUAAAUUGGGAUUAAAGAAACAAUUUUGAAGAUGUUCAUAGGUAGUGUUAUCAUCAUUUAUGAACAAAUUUCCCUUUUCCAUUUUGAAAAAAAGAACCCCAAAAGGCUAAAAAUUCAAGAAGAAAAAAGGGUAGGAAUUUUCUUGGAAAAAAAAUGGACACAAUAUCUUUUGGAGUAGUAACAAAAUAUUAGAAGAAAAUGACUUUGUUGUU